GUACAAGCAGUGGGAGCACAGGUUUACCUGUGUGACUGCGUACCUUUUGUAUAAUGGGUCAGCGACUUAUAUUCUGUAGCAAGGUUAACCGCAUAGGGGAGCCGGAGGGAAACCGAGUCUUAACCGGGCGUUAAGUUGCAGGGUAUAGACCCGAAACCCGGUGAUCUAGCCAUGGGCAGGUUGAAGGUUGGGUAACACUAACUGGAGGACCGAACCGACUAAUGUUGAAAAAUUAGCGGAUGACCUGUGGCUGGGGGUGAAAGGCCAAUCAAACCGGGAGAUAGCUGGUUCUCCCCGAAAGCUAUUUAGGUAGCGCCUCGUGAAUUCAUCUCCGGGGGUAGAGCACUGUUUCGGCCAGGGGGCCAUCCCGGCUUACCAAUCCGAUGCAAACUGCGAAUACCGGAGAAUGUUAUCACGGGAGACACACGGCGGGUGCUAACGUCCGUCGUGAAGAGGGAAACAACCCAGACCGCCAGCUAAGGUCCCAAAGUCAUGGUUAAGUGGGAAACGAUGUGGGAAGGCCCAGACAGCCAGGAUGUUGGCUUAGAAGCAGCCAUCAUUUAAAGAAAGCGUAAUAGCUCACUGGUCGAGUCGGCCUGCGCGGAAGAUGUAACGGGGCUAAACCAU
Molecule: ribosomal RNA, 627 nt
Filed under: Salmonella enterica
Lineage: Bacteria; Pseudomonadati; Pseudomonadota; Gammaproteobacteria; Enterobacterales; Enterobacteriaceae
Description: partial 23S ribosomal RNA
Rfam family: Bacterial large subunit ribosomal RNA
Source: RNAcentral